CGCGUGGGUAAUCUACCCUCGAAUUGGGGAUAACAUCGCGAAAGUGAUGCUAAUACCGAAUAAUAUCUUAAAAACCUCGGUUUUAAAGAUCAAAGGAGGCCUCUACUUGUAAGCUUCUGUUUGAGGAUGAGCCCGCGUACCAUUAGCUUGUCGGUAGGGUAAUGGCCUACCAAGGCUACGAUGGUUAGCUGGUCUGAGAGGAUGAUCAGCCACACUGGAACUGACACACGGUCCAG
Molecule: ribosomal RNA, 236 nt
Filed under: uncultured bacterium
Lineage: Bacteria
Description: partial 16S ribosomal RNA
Rfam family: Bacterial small subunit ribosomal RNA
Source: RNAcentral